GCUGGGCAUGGUGGUGUGUGCCUGUAAUCCCAGCUACUUGGGAGGCUGAGGCAGGAGAAUCACUUGAACCCAGGAGGUGGAGGUUGCAGUGAGCCAAGAUCAUGCCACUUCACUCCAGCCUGGGAAACAGAGUGAGACUCUGUCUCAA
This is an unclassified non-coding RNA of Callithrix jacchus (white-tufted-ear marmoset), 148 nucleotides long. It matches the Rfam family "Metazoan signal recognition particle RNA". From Rfam's summary of the family: The signal recognition particle (SRP) is a universally conserved ribonucleoprotein. The record is from Ensembl. NCBI's taxonomy places the organism in Eukaryota, Metazoa, Chordata, Mammalia, Primates, Cebidae.